This 83-nucleotide transfer RNA is filed under the name Candidatus Roizmanbacteria bacterium. Its description in RNAcentral is "tRNA-Leu". It matches the Rfam family "tRNA". Rfam says of the family: Transfer RNA (tRNA) molecules are approximately 80 nucleotides in length. Their secondary structure includes four short double-helical elements and three loops (D, anti-codon, and T loops). The record is from RNAcentral. Lineage: Bacteria; Candidatus Roizmaniibacteriota.
GCCAGAGUGGUGAAAUGGCAGACACGCAGGAUUUAGGAUCCUGUGCCUGAAAAGGCGUGGGAGUUCAACUCUCCCCUCUGGCA